UACGAAGGGGGCUAGCGUUGUUCGGAAUUACUGGGCGUAAAAGGCGCGUAGGCGGCCAUCUAAGUCAGACGUGAAAUCCCCCGGCUUAACCUGGGAACUGCGUCUGAUACUGGACGGCUCGAGUUUGGGAGAGGGAUGCAGAAUUCCAGGUGUAGCGGUGAAAUGCGUAGAUAUCUGGAGGAAUACCGGUGGCGAAGGCGGCAUCCUGGACCAACACUGACGCUGAGGCGCGAAAGCUAGGGGAGCAAACGGG
RNAcentral lists this ribosomal RNA (253 nucleotides) under uncultured bacterium. Its description in RNAcentral is "partial 16S ribosomal RNA". It matches the Rfam family "Bacterial small subunit ribosomal RNA", at positions 524 to 776 of the family's 1533-position model. The record is from RNAcentral.